Podarcis lilfordi (Lilford's wall lizard) is the source of this 86-nucleotide non-coding RNA. The record is from the annotation of a GenBank genome assembly. NCBI's taxonomy places the organism in Eukaryota, Metazoa, Chordata, Lepidosauria, Squamata, Lacertidae.
UGCUGGAUAGCUCUGUCAGCAGAGCAUGACACUCUUAAUGAGAUUCUUAAUCUCAGGGUUGUGGGUUCAAGCCCCAUGUUGGGCAA